AUGUGGCUCGACAACUACUCGGUUACGCAUUAUCGUCCACACAAGGUGGUGAACUCGGACGUCAAUGUGCGCUACACGGUUGCAUGUGCAUGUGAAGAUGAAAUAUGUCCGUGGAUUGUGCGUGCAAGACCAUGGAAAGGAGGUCCCACUUGGCACGUAGUGAGUUGUGUGCCAACUCACAUGUGCCGAGGAAAAAGGGUGGAUGGCAAGAAUGUGUCCCAAGACCACAGACAACUCACGUCCGAGUUCAUCGCUUGCAGGCUCUCCAACAAAAUAUCCACACUUCCAACAAUGAGCGUCCAACAUGUCAUUGACCUUGUGAAAGCCAUCUUUCAUUACAAGGUGAAGUACGGCAAAGCAUGGAAGGCGAAGCAAGCCGCAUUUAAGAUGUUGUAUGGUACUUGGGAGGAAGCAUACAACCGAAUCCCUAGGUUGUUGUUAGCCAUGGCCAUGACAAACCUGGGCAUGGUUCAUGUGGUCGAGCCUCAUGGGCACCAAACAACGGUUCAUGAAGGAAGGAAAGUCCAAGUAUUUGGCCGUGCAUUUUGGGCAUUCGAGCAAUGA
Molecule: ribosomal RNA, 564 nt
Filed under: Triticum aestivum (bread wheat)
Lineage: Eukaryota; Viridiplantae; Streptophyta; Magnoliopsida; Poales; Poaceae
Description: partial small subunit ribosomal RNA
Source: RNAcentral